UGGGGAAUAUUGCACAAUGGGCGAAAGCCUGAUGCAGCGACGCCGCGUGAGGGAUGGAGGCCUUCGGGUUGUAAACCUCUUUCGCUCAUGGUCAAGCCGCAACAUGUGGUUGUGGUGAGGGUAGUGGGUAAAGAAGCGCCGGCUAACUACGUGCCAGCAGCCGCGGUAAUACGUAGGGCGCGAGCGUUGUCCGGAAUUAUUGGGCGUAAAGGGCUUGUAGGCGGUUGGUCGCGUCUGCCGUGAAAUCCUCUGGCUUAACUGGGGGCGUGCGGUGGGUACGGGCUGACUUGAGUGCGGUAGGGGAGACUGGAACUCCUGGUGUAGCGGUGGAAUGCGCAGAUAUCAGGAAGAACACCGGUGGCGAAGGCGGGUCUCUGGGCCGUUACUGACGCUGAGGAGCGAAAGCGUGGGGAGCGAACAGG
RNAcentral lists this ribosomal RNA (422 nucleotides) under uncultured bacterium. RNAcentral's name for it is "bacterial SSU rRNA". It matches the Rfam family "Bacterial small subunit ribosomal RNA", at positions 355 to 776 of the family's 1533-position model. The record is from RNAcentral.